AUUGAACGCUGGCGGCAGGCCUAACACAUGCAAGUCGAGCGGAUGAAGGGAGCUUGCUCCUGGAUUCAGCGGCGGACGGGUGAGUAAUGCCUAGGAAUCUGCCUGGUAGUGGGGGAUAACGUCCGGAAACGGGCGCUAAUACCGCAUACGUCCUGAGGGAGAAAGUGGGGGAUUUUCGGACCUCACGCUAUCAGACGAGCCUAGUUGGGAUUAGCUAGUUGGUGGGGCAGAGGCCUACCAAGGCGACGAUCCUGAACUGGUCUGAGAGGAUGAUCAGUCACACUGGGACUGAGACCCGGUGCAGAAUCCUAGAGGAGCCAGCAGUGGGGAAUAUUCGACGCUGAGCGAAAGCCUGAUCCAUCCAUGCUGCGUGUGUGAAGAAGGUCUUCGGAUUGUACAGCACUUUAAGUUGGGAGGAGGGGCAGUAAUUUAAUACCUUGCUGUUUUGACGUUACCAACAGAAUAAGCACCGGCUAGGUUCGUG
This 484-nucleotide ribosomal RNA is filed under the name uncultured bacterium. RNAcentral describes it as "partial 16S ribosomal RNA". It matches the Rfam family "Bacterial small subunit ribosomal RNA", at positions 30 to 507 of the family's 1533-position model. The record is from RNAcentral.